AACCAGCACCUCAAGUGGUCAGGAGGAUUAUUGGGCCUAAAGCAUCCGUAGCCGGCUCUGUAAGUUUUCGGUUAAAUCCAUGUGCUCAACACAUGGGCUGCCGAAAAUACUGCAUAGCUAGGGAGUGGGAGAGGUAGACGGUACUCGGUAGGAAGGGGUAAAAUCCUUUGAUCUAUCGAUGACCACCUGUGGCGAAGGCGGUCUACCAGAACACGUUCGACGGUGAGGGAUGAAAGCUGGGGGAGCAAACCGG
RNAcentral lists this ribosomal RNA (253 nucleotides) under uncultured archaeon. RNAcentral's name for it is "partial 16S ribosomal RNA". It matches the Rfam family "Archaeal small subunit ribosomal RNA", at positions 474 to 727 of the family's 1478-position model. The record is from RNAcentral.